RNAcentral lists this ribosomal RNA (443 nucleotides) under uncultured bacterium. RNAcentral describes it as "partial 16S ribosomal RNA". It matches the Rfam family "Bacterial small subunit ribosomal RNA", at positions 339 to 795 of the family's 1533-position model. The record is from RNAcentral.
CUACGGGAGGCUGCAGUGGGGAAUAUUGGACAAUGGACCAAAAGUCUGAUCCAGCAAUUCUGUGUGUUUGAUGAAGGCCUUCGGGUUGUAAAGAACUUUAAGUAGGGAAGAAGAAAGUGACGGUACCUACAGAAUAAGCGACGGCUAGAAUACGUGCCAGCAGCCGCGGUAAUACGUAUGUCGCAAGCGUUAUCCGGAAUUAUUGGGCAUAAAGCGCGUCUAGGCGGUUUACUAAGUCUGAUGUGAAAAUGCGGGGCUCAACUCCGUAUUGCGUUGGAAACUGGUAGACUAGAGUAUUGGAGAGGUAGGCGGAACUACAAGUGUAGAGGUGAAAUUCGUAGAUAUUUGUAGGAAUGCCAAUGACGAAGGUAGCUUACUGGACAAAUACUGACGCUGAAGCGCGGAAGCUAGGGGAGCAAACAGGAUUAGAUACCCCAGUAGUC